Long non-coding RNA from Raphanus sativus (radish), 850 nucleotides. RefSeq lists it as uncharacterized. The record is from RefSeq and is a predicted model, not a curated record. NCBI's taxonomy places the organism in Eukaryota, Viridiplantae, Streptophyta, Magnoliopsida, Brassicales, Brassicaceae. The transcript has 5 exons.
UUCAGUUUUAUAUGCAUACUAGAUUCUGACCCGCCCUUUGAAAGGGCGGGUAUAUUUCUUAAUGAGAUGUUUUUUUGGUUUUUUAUUUGAUUAGUUUGAAUGGUAUGGAUCCGAUAAAAGAGAAGCCGAACCCUGACAUUCAAACCCAGAUCUUGGUGUACUCGUUCGAUUUGGAAAAGAGACGAAGAUGCUGAGAGUUAUGACAGAAGAACUUUAACAAAUCCAUAAGUGGUUAUAGCCUUAUAGGUCAGGAGAAACACCUAAGAGAUAAGGAACAUAACGGAACAGCUGAGAAGUGAUCAAACGAAGAAUACAUGGGAAUUACCAGAUGUUGUCAUCAAGGCAUGAACUACAACCAAUCUGAAAAAGAUAAGUGUUGUCCUGAAUAUAGUCUAUACUGUUUUAUACCCAUUCAUGGUUUAAUUGAAAACAAAUUUAAAGAAUAUAUAAUAAUCAUACUAUUUUAAAAGCAGAAUUCAAUGUUUUUUAAACAGUUAAUAUACGCAAGGAGAAACAACAAAGGAGAUAUGGAAAAAACCGUUCUGAAAUGAAGCAUGCCUAUGAAACAGUUUAUUACAUAAAUCAGAUUGAAGAAAUUCAAAGCUCCCCAACAUCUAUGGCUUGUCCAACGAUGUCUACAUUUAACAAAAACAUGGAACUUUGCAGAUUCUAAUAAACGUUGAAAGAUCAGUGUGCAUGGAAUAUCAUCAUCAAUUUACUGCAGAAUUGAUACAUAUACUAUUUAAUAAACGAAAACCAGUGUUUUCUAGCAACUGAAGUUUGUUCUAAAGCAUAUGUAACUAUCAUCUGUAAAUUUUUUAUAUGAAUGUGUCAUUCAGAAAAAAGAAAA